GAAUGCUGACAUAAGUAACGAUAAAGCGGGUGAAAAGCCCGCUCGCCGGAAGACCAAGGGUUCCUGUCCAACGUUAAUCGGGGCAGGGUGAGUCGACCCCUAAGGCGAGGCCGAAAGGCGUAGUCGAUGGGAAACGGGUUAAUAUUCCCGUACUUGGUGUUACUGCGAAGGGGGGACGGAGAAGGCUAUGUUGGCCGGGCGACGGUUGUCCCGGUUUAAGCGUGUAGGCUGGUUUUCCAGGCAAAUCCGGAAAAUCAAGGCUGAGGCGUGACGACGAGGCACUACGGUGCUGAAGCAACAAAUGCCCUGCUUCCAGGAAAAGCCUCUAAGCAUCAGGUAACAUCAAAUCGUACCCCAAACCGACACAGGUGGUCAGGUAGAGAAUACCAAGGCGCUUGAGAGAACUCGGGUGAAGGAACUAGGCAAAAUGGUGCCGUAACU
RNAcentral lists this ribosomal RNA (441 nucleotides) under Salmonella enterica subsp. enterica serovar Bareilly. Its description in RNAcentral is "partial 23S ribosomal RNA". It matches the Rfam family "Bacterial large subunit ribosomal RNA", at positions 1292 to 1735 of the family's 2925-position model. RNAcentral also lists the same sequence under 3 other names. The record is from RNAcentral. Lineage: Bacteria; Pseudomonadati; Pseudomonadota; Gammaproteobacteria; Enterobacterales; Enterobacteriaceae.